RNAcentral lists this small nuclear RNA (314 nucleotides) under Jaculus jaculus (lesser Egyptian jerboa). RNAcentral's name for it is "7SK RNA (ENSJJAG00000006762.1)". It matches the Rfam family "7SK RNA". Rfam says of the family: 7SK was discovered as an abundant small nuclear RNA in the mid-70s but a possible function has only recently been suggested. The record is from RNAcentral. Lineage: Eukaryota; Metazoa; Chordata; Mammalia; Rodentia; Dipodidae.
GGAUGUGAGGGUGAUCUGGCUGCAACAUCUGUCACCCCAUUGAUCGCCAAGGUCGAUUUAGCUGAUGUGGCUGGCUAGGUGGGUGUCCCCUUUCUCCCUCACCACUCCAUGUGUGUCCCUCCCAACACAUGCUCGGUCGAAGAGGACAACCUUCUCCGAAUGGAGGAGGACUGGUCUUCAGUUAAGGGUAUGCGAGUGGCUGCGCUCCACUGCUAGAACCUCCAAACAAGCUCUCAAGAAGAUUCUUUGAUCAAGGCUCAAAGUAGCAUUAAUUUUUUGGUAUAAAUGAAUAUUUAGAAUCUAAUAUGCUAUAU